RNAcentral lists this ribosomal RNA (377 nucleotides) under uncultured Chloroflexota bacterium. RNAcentral describes it as "bacterial SSU rRNA". It matches the Rfam family "Bacterial small subunit ribosomal RNA", at positions 521 to 896 of the family's 1533-position model. The record is from RNAcentral. Lineage: Bacteria; Bacillati; Chloroflexota.
UAAAACGUAGGAUCCGAGCGUUAUCCGAAUUCACUGGGCGUAAAGCGCGUGUAGGCGGUUCGGUAAGUUGGAUGUGAAAGCUCCCGGCUCAACUGGGAGAGGACGUUCAAAACUAUUGGACUAGAGGGCGGAAGAGGGAGGUGGAAUUCCCGGUGUAGUGGUGAAAUGCGUAGAUAUCGGGAGGAACACCAGUGGCGAAGGCGGCCUCCUGGGCCGCACCUGACGCUCAGACGCGAAAGCUAGGGUAGCAAACGGGAUUAGAAACCCCGGUAGUCCUAGCUGUAAACGAUGUAGACUUGGUGUUGGUGGGGUAAAAGCCAUCAGUGCCGGAGCAAACGCGAUAAGUCUACCGCCUGGGGACUACGACCGCAAGGUUA